GCCCGGCAGGCACCUCCUAAUAAAAAGUUCUUAUUUUUAUUAAGAGGGGUGUUAGAAGCUUUAUAAAAAAUUAACCAGCUUGCAUUUUAAGUAUAACACAGAAAUUAAAAAAAGGAUAAUAGUUUACAAGUACUGUAAAGGAAAGUUAUAUUUAAGACAAAGCAAAACUAAGCUCUUGUACCUUUUGUAUCAGGGAUAAACAAAAUAAUCCGGUUAUUAACAGAAGUCUCGAAACGAGGGGAGCUAGCAGUGUUAAUAGUUCUUCGUGGUAAAGAAGUUUGUAAAAGAUUGCUAGUGGCGAUAUACUAGGCGCCCUUCGUAUAUCUAGUUUUCUCUAAAAAAAAUUUAAUUUUGGUUUUCCUUAGAAUUAAAUUUAAAGCAGAAGACGGGAGGUAAAAGCUUCUCGUUUACUGUUUAUAAGGCGAGUAAAAAUCAGUGGCUGAGUAGGCUUAAAACCAGUCACCUUAUUAUAGCGUUAUAGUAAAUCCACCACCAAAUUUUCUUUAUAUAAGCCUGUUGACUUUAAGUGAAAAUAUUCUUUAAUAAGAUCGUAUUAGCUGAAAUGUUUAUAUAAGUAUAUUUAAAGUAUAAUAAGAGUGUUGAGUGCAAAUUAAGUUUUAAUAAAUUCUAGUUGUUUAAAAGGAACUCGGCAAACAAUAUCUUCACCUGUUUAUCAAAAACAUGUCUCUAUGAAAAUAAAUAUAAAGUCUAGCCUGCCCACUGAGUUUUUGAAGGGCUGCGGUAAUUUGACCGUGCAAAGGUAGCAUAAUCAGUAGUCUUUUAAUUGAAGGCUUGUAUGAACGGUUGGAUGAGGGAAAAGCUGUCUCUUUUAUAACCUAAAACUUGACUUUUAAGUGAAAAGGCUUAAAUAGUGUAGUGGGACGAUAAGACCCUAUAAAACUUUAUAUGUUGCCUGCUUUUUGUUAAAAUUCUACCUAAAAUUUGAAAAGCACUCUACAUAUUUUGUUGGGGAGACAUUGAUAUAAAUUGUAACUGUCUAAAUAAAAAAUAUAAUUAUCAUUAUAAUCUGAUCCUUCUUUGUGGAUAAAAAGAAUAAGUUACUUUAGGGAUAACAGCGUGAUUUUUUCUGAGAGUUCUUAUCGAAGAAAGUAGUUGCGACCUCGAUGUUGAAUUAAAACUUCCUACAGGUGUAGCAGCUUAUUAGGCAGGUCUGUUCGACCUUUAAAGUUUUACAUGAUUUGAGUUCAAACCGGUGUGAGCCAGGUUGGUUUCUAUCUUCUAUCAAUUCUUUAGAAGCUUUAGUACGAAAGGAUUGAGCUUUUGAGAUUAUCUCUUUAUGAGAUUAAAUAUAAAUAUUACCUUGGCAGAUUUAUGCGCCGGAUUUAGGAUCCGUUUAAAUAGUAUUAUACUAUAG
RNAcentral lists this ribosomal RNA (1375 nucleotides) under Palaemon serenus. RNAcentral's name for it is "16S ribosomal RNA". The stretch from base 874 to 1243 matches the Rfam family "Bacterial large subunit ribosomal RNA", at positions 2072 to 2648 of the family's 2925-position model. Lineage: Eukaryota; Metazoa; Arthropoda; Malacostraca; Decapoda; Palaemonidae. The record is from RNAcentral.